This 429-nucleotide ribosomal RNA is filed under the name Bacteroidota bacterium. RNAcentral's name for it is "Bacteroidetes bacterium partial 16S ribosomal RNA". It matches the Rfam family "Bacterial small subunit ribosomal RNA", at positions 355 to 776 of the family's 1533-position model. The record is from RNAcentral. Lineage: Bacteria; Pseudomonadati; Bacteroidota.
UAGGGAAUCUUCGGCAAUGGGGGGAACCCUGACCGAGCAACGCCGCGUGAGUGAAGAAGGUUUUCGGAUCGUAAAGCUCUGUUGUUAAGGAAGAACGAGUGUGAGAAUGGAAAGUUCAUGCUGUGACGGUACUUAACCAGAAAGGGACGGCUAACUACGUGCCAGCAGCCGCGGUAAUACGUAGGUCCCGAGCGUUGUCCGGAUUUAUUGGGCGUAAAGCGAGCGCAGGCGGUUAGAAAAGUCUGAAGUGAAAGGCGGUGGCUCAACCAUUGUAGGCUUUGGUAACUAUUUAACUUGAGUGCAGAACGGGAUAGUGGAAUUCCAUGUGUAGCGGUUAAUUGCGUAGAUAUAUGGAGGAACACCGGUGGCGGGAGCGGCUCGCUGGUCUGUAUCUGUCGCUGAGGCUCGAAAGCGUGGGGAGCGAACAGG